This 133-nucleotide ribosomal RNA is filed under the name uncultured bacterium. Its description in RNAcentral is "partial 16S ribosomal RNA". The record is from RNAcentral.
GUGGUACCAUCAGAUCUGACAACUAUUAAUCAUCAGACUUUUUUCCCACUUGACAGAGCUUUACGACCCGAAAGCCUUCUUCACUCACGCGGCGUUGCUGCGUCAGGGUUUACCCCAUUGCGCAAAAUUCCUC